GGAAGAUGGCAUGUGUGGCCAAUAAUUACCGGAGCUUAGCAAGGCCAGUGGCUGUGAUGUGCAAUUCUCAAAUCAAGGUGCAGCCUGAAGACUCAGCCGGUGCCGCUGCUGCCCUCUGCUACUUGAUUGCUGGCAGCUGGUUGAGCCAUGUCAAGUGGCAGGCAAGGAAAUGUGAAAUCCCAGAUAAAGCACAGAGCCCUAAAAAGCCAUGAAGCUCAAGUAAUGAGAAGAGUGAUGGGGUUUGGGGUUUGGGCAUGCUUAGCAGGCAGGCAGGAGCCAAUGCUAACGCUUUCAACCUCUUCCUCUUCUUGGUAUGUCUGUAUGUGAGAAAAAGAGGAGGGGUGAAGGUGUUUGUAUAUUUGACUUUCCUAAUCCUGGAUUUAGGAGGAUCCACCAAACUUCAACAAUGCAGAACUGGGCCAGUUUCUGUAAAAAUCAAGUUGAAAAUCCCCGUAAAGUCCCCCUCUCAAGAUCUGCAGAAUCAUUUCUGAUAUUAAUGGCAACCUGAUUUGGA
Molecule: long non-coding RNA, 514 nt
Filed under: Oreochromis niloticus (Nile tilapia)
Lineage: Eukaryota; Metazoa; Chordata; Actinopteri; Cichliformes; Cichlidae
Description: lncRNA (ENSONIG00000026515.2)
Source: RNAcentral